GGCCUUAUCGUCUAGCCUGGUCCAGGACGUCAGAUUCUCGAUCUGAAGACAGGGGUUCAAAUCCCCUUAGGGCUACCA
This 78-nucleotide transfer RNA is filed under the name Candidatus Omnitrophica bacterium CG1_02_40_15. Its description in RNAcentral is "tRNA-Glu". It matches the Rfam family "tRNA". From Rfam's summary of the family: Transfer RNA (tRNA) molecules are approximately 80 nucleotides in length. Their secondary structure includes four short double-helical elements and three loops (D, anti-codon, and T loops). Further hydrogen bonds mediate the characteristic L-shaped molecular structure. tRNAs have two regions of fundamental functional importance: the anti-codon, which is responsible for specific mRNA codon recognition, and the 3' end, to which the tRNAs corresponding amino acid is attached (by aminoacyl-tRNA synthetases). tRNAs cope with the degeneracy of the genetic code in two manners: having more than one tRNA (with a specific anti-codon) for a particular amino acid; and 'wobble' base-pairing, i.e. permitting non-standard base-pairing at the 3rd anti-codon position. Lineage: Bacteria; Pseudomonadati; Candidatus Omnitrophota. RNAcentral also lists the same sequence under 1 other name. The record is from RNAcentral.